RNAcentral lists this transfer RNA (76 nucleotides) under Paenibacillus cookii. RNAcentral describes it as "tRNA-Val". It matches the Rfam family "tRNA". Rfam says of the family: Transfer RNA (tRNA) molecules are approximately 80 nucleotides in length. Their secondary structure includes four short double-helical elements and three loops (D, anti-codon, and T loops). Further hydrogen bonds mediate the characteristic L-shaped molecular structure. tRNAs have two regions of fundamental functional importance: the anti-codon, which is responsible for specific mRNA codon recognition, and the 3' end, to which the tRNAs corresponding amino acid is attached (by aminoacyl-tRNA synthetases). tRNAs cope with the degeneracy of the genetic code in two manners: having more than one tRNA (with a specific anti-codon) for a particular amino acid; and 'wobble' base-pairing, i.e. permitting non-standard base-pairing at the 3rd anti-codon position. The record is from RNAcentral. RNAcentral also lists the same sequence under 24 other names. Lineage: Bacteria; Bacillati; Bacillota; Bacilli; Caryophanales; Paenibacillaceae.
GGAGACUUAGCUCAGCUGGGAGAGCAUCUGCCUUACAAGCAGAGGGUCGGGGGUUCGAUCCCCUCAGUCUCCACCA